ACACAUGCAGUCGAGCGGAUGACAGGAGCUUGCUCCUGAAUUCAGCGGCGGACGGGUGAGUAAUGCCUAGGAAUCUGCCUGGUAGUGGGGGACAACGUUUCGAAAGGAACGCUAAUACCGCAUACGUCCUACGGGAGAAAGCAGGGGACCUUCGGGCCUUGCGCUAUCAGAUGAGCCUAGGUCGGAUUAGCUAGUUGGUGAGGUAAUGGCUCACCAAGGCGACGAUCCGUAACUGGUCUGAGAGGAUGAUCAGUCACACUGGAACUGAGACACGGUCCAGACUCCUACGGGAGGCAGCAGUGGGGAAUAUUGGACAAUGGGCGAAAGCCUGAUCCAGCCAUGCCGCGUGUGUGAAGAAGGUCUUCGGAUUGUAAAGCACUUUAAGUUGGGAGGAAGGGCAUUAACCUAAUACGUUAGUGUUUUGACGUUACCGACAGAAUAAGCACCGGCUAACUCUGUGCCAGCAGCCGCGGUAAUACAGAGGGUGCAAGCGUUAAUCGGAAUUACUGGGCGUAAAGCGCGCGUAGGUGGUUUGUUAAGUUGGAUGUGAAAUCCCCGGGCUCAACCUGGGAACUGCAUUCAAAACAGACAAGCUAGAGUAUGGUAGAGGGUGGUGGAAUUUCCUGUGUAGCGGUGAAAUGCGUAGAUAUAGGAAGGAA
RNAcentral lists this ribosomal RNA (659 nucleotides) under uncultured bacterium. Its description in RNAcentral is "bacterial SSU rRNA". It matches the Rfam family "Bacterial small subunit ribosomal RNA", at positions 51 to 706 of the family's 1533-position model. The record is from RNAcentral.